UUAACUCAAAUUUGUAUGGAGUGGGAUCGUUUGCCUACGUUUGCCGUUAGGGACGCUGUUCCAACUGCAUACAAAAUUGGAUUA
Molecule: microRNA precursor, 84 nt
Filed under: Bombyx mori (domestic silkworm)
Lineage: Eukaryota; Metazoa; Arthropoda; Insecta; Lepidoptera; Bombycidae
Description: mir-2807 microRNA precursor family
Rfam family: mir-2807 microRNA precursor family
Source: Rfam by way of RNAcentral